Molecule: RNA transcript, 1647 nt
Organism: Piliocolobus tephrosceles (Ugandan red Colobus)
Lineage: Eukaryota; Metazoa; Chordata; Mammalia; Primates; Cercopithecidae
Exons: 1
Source: RefSeq, a predicted model, not a curated record
AUGUCAUCACAGGGACAAAGCCUCCUUCCCAUGAGGUCAUCCCAGAGGAAGAGGCCGGCCCGUGAGGUCCUCGCUGGAGGCCAUGUCCAUGUUCUAUGAUGUCCUCAGAGGCUUCCUUCUUGUGCUGUAAUAACAGAGAUGAUGCCUUGUUCCAUGACAUUCGAUCCUGUGGUGUCACUGCAGAGACAAUCUCACCUGGAUGAUGUCGCCUCUAACUCCACGGCCUCUCUGGGCAUCAUCGCCAUGGGGAAGAUAUUUUCUCCCUGUGUCUUUGCAGCAGAGAAGGUGCCUCUGUCCCAUGAUGUCGUCAUUACAGACAAAGCCAUCUUCCUGGGACACGUCGCAGGGGAAAAUGCCUCACCAACUGUGUCCUCACUAGACCUAAGGUCUCCUUUUCACCACAUCAUCACAGGGACCCUGCCUCCUUCCUGUGAUGCCAUCACCAGAGAAGGUGCCUUGCCCUAUGACGUCAUCAGAGGGACCGUGCCUCUUCCUGUGAUGUCAUCACCAGAGAUGACCACCCACUCUGGGACCUCUCCAGGAGGAGGCCCCUUCUGCGCUCUCGCCCAGAGGCUACGUGCUCUGAGAUGGCACGAGGAGAGGCCUCCAUUGCUGCCACCAUGUUGUAGAAGGCAGGGCAGGCCCAGAGUCCAGGACAACCCCAGGGAAGAUGCCAGAGAGCAGAGAGGAGCCCUGUCCUGAGAUGUUGUCUGAAGGAAGCAUGGCUGGGGAGCCGCCCAUGUGGAGGGCCUCCUCCAGAGAUGAUGGUCGGUGUAGGCUGUUGGCAGUGAACCCCCUACCCCAGUGCUGUGAUGGCAUCACCAGAGCUUCCUCCUCAGAGGCACUGCCCACUCUGGGAGGCCAUCGGUAUUGAUGGUGUCACCAGAGUUACUGCCUUGUCCCACCAUGACUUAGCUUGGUUGCUCCCUCCCCAAACCCAAGGGACAUGCCCAGCAGGAUCUCUGCUAGACCCUCUGAGAGGAAAUGGGGCCUUGGAUCCCACACCUGUGCUAUGACUCCUGGGAGACAGAACAUCCAGAUGCCCUUCUGCUCCCAGGAGGCCACUCUGGAUCCCCAGGAUCCUGGAGUCCUGGCACUCACAGGUGUCCUGUAGCCUGGCCUCACUCUUCGUUCUGCCAUAUCUAAAGACAAUCACCUCUGUCAACAAAGUCCUAGCCUUCUACUGGGGGGAGGUGCUUGAGGUACACCUACUGUUGCCCUCACUGACACUGUCAGCACCACACAAUACCCGCCACUCAUGAUGGCACUGCACCCGGGGUCAAGUGUUACCCAGGUCUGAGGAUGGAAUCCUUUCCCAGGAUUCCCUAUGACCCCCAACUAUGGUAACAUCUUCUUCCAGGAUUUACCAUGACUAAUGGUGUCACCAUCUCCCAAGACUCUCCAUAGCCAACGGUGUCACCACCCUCCAUGAUUCCUCACAACCACGGUGUCAUCAUCUUUCAGGAGCCACCACAGCUGACGAUGUCAUCAUUUCCUAGAUCCCGCCAUGACCAAUGAUGACAUUACCUUCCAGAAUCCACUAUGCCUGACACAGACAUCCUCUACUGAAAUCCACUAGGACUGAUGAUGCCACCAUUUCCCAUAAUCCCUCAUGAUUUUGGUGUCAUCACCUCCCACAACAGAACC